UACGAAGGGGUGCACGUUGUCCGGAAUUACUGGGCGUAAAGCGCACGUAGGCGGAUACUUAAGUCAGGGGUGAAAUCCCGGGGCGUCAACCCCGGAACUGCCUUUGAUACUGGGUAUCUCGAGUCCGGAAGAGGUGAGUGGAAUUCCGAGUGUAGAGGUGAAAUUCGUAGAUAUUCGGAGGAACACCAGUGGCGAAGGCGGCUCACUGGUCCGGUACUGACGCUGAGGUGCGAAAGCGUGGGGAGCAAACAGG
RNAcentral lists this ribosomal RNA (253 nucleotides) under uncultured bacterium. RNAcentral's name for it is "partial 16S ribosomal RNA". It matches the Rfam family "Bacterial small subunit ribosomal RNA", at positions 524 to 776 of the family's 1533-position model. The record is from RNAcentral.